The sequence is a regulatory RNA element, 65 nucleotides long. It matches the Rfam family "Repression of heat shock gene expression (ROSE) element". The record is from Rfam.
AGCGGGAUGCCGAAGUCGGGUCCCGCCCGUUUCAACUCGCUGAUUUCAGGAGGUUUAUCAUGAGU